AAGUCGUAAUAAGGUUUCCGUAGGUGAACCUGCGGAAGGAUCAUUAGCGAGAGCCUGCCGCAGACUCGUGCGAGUCUGUGCACACGCGCGCCAUCCUUGUGUUGUGUGUGACGUGUUGUGUGCGCAAUGCCACUGUUGCCAAGGUGGCGGUGGUGUCUGCGCAUGCGCAUUUUUUUCACUCCAUUUCAUUGCAUUGUUGAGCUGAUUUGUUUCUUACUCGGGCGGGGUAACACCCCUCUGAGAAGAAAUUGAAUUACGAAACAAUAAAGAACAACUCUUAGCAACGGAUAUCUUGGUUCUC
RNAcentral lists this unclassified non-coding RNA (301 nucleotides) under fungal sp. Its description in RNAcentral is "partial internal transcribed spacer region". The stretch from base 1 to 46 matches the Rfam family "Eukaryotic small subunit ribosomal RNA", at positions 1786 to 1831 of the family's 1831-position model. Lineage: Eukaryota; Fungi. The record is from RNAcentral.